GUGCUCGCUUCAGCAGCACAUAUACUAAAAAUGGAACAAUACACAGACGAUUAGCAUAGCCCCUGCACAAGGAUGACAUGGGAAAAAAAAAAGAAGAAAAAUCUUAA
RNAcentral lists this small nuclear RNA (107 nucleotides) under Balaenoptera musculus (blue whale). The record is from RNAcentral. Lineage: Eukaryota; Metazoa; Chordata; Mammalia; Artiodactyla; Balaenopteridae.